Molecule: ribosomal RNA, 1414 nt
Filed under: uncultured bacterium
Lineage: Bacteria
Description: bacterial SSU rRNA
Rfam family: Bacterial small subunit ribosomal RNA
Source: RNAcentral
GCCCUUAGAGUUGACCUGGCUCAGAACGAACGGUGGCGGCGUGGAUAAGACAUGCAAGUCGAACGGGAUUUAUUUGUAGCAAUACCGAUAAAGUUCAGUGGCGUAAGGGUGCGUAACACGUGGGCAAUCUGCCCUGAAGCGCGGGAUAGCUUGGCGAAAGCCAAAUUAAUACCGCAUGUGGCUAUUGGAGGAGUCUCCGGGAUGCUAAAGACGGCGCAAGCUGUCACUUCAGGAUGAGCUCGCGGCCUAUCAGCUAGUUGGCGGGGUAACGGCCCACCAAGGCUAUGACGGGUAGCUGGUCUGAGAGGACGACCAGCCACACGGGGACUGAGACACGGCCCCGACUCCUACGGGAGGCAGCAGUGGGGAAUUUUCCGCAAUGGGCGAAAGCCUGACGGAGUGACGCCGCGUGUGGGACGAAGGCCUUCGGGUCGUAAACCACUGUCAGUGGGAAAGAUGGGUGUCGGCGCGAUAACCGCCGGCAUCUGACGGUACCUGCAGAGGAAGCCCCGGCCAACUCUGUGCCAGCAGCCGCGGUAAGACAGAGGGGGCAAGCGUUGCUCGGAAUUACUGGGCGUAAAGGGCGCGUAGGCGGAAUGGCAAGUCGGUCGUGAAAUCCUUCGGCUCAACCGAAGAACGUCGAUCGAAACUGUCGUUCUUGAGGAUUGCAGAGGAGACUGGAAUUCCCGGUGUAGCGGUGAAAUGUGUAGAGAUCGGGAGGAACACCGGUGGCGAAGGCGGGUCUCUGGGCAAUUCCUGACGCUGAGGCGCGAAAGCGUGGGGAGCAAACGGGAUUAGAUACCCCGGUAGUCCACGCUGUAAACGAUGACGACUAGGUGUGGGGGGGUUCAGUCCCUUCCGUGCCGCAGCUAACGCAUUAAGUCGUCCGCCUGGGGAGUACGGCCGCAAGGUUGAAACUCAAAGGAAUUGACGGGGGCCCGCACAAGCGGUGGAGCAUGUGGUUCAAUUCGAUGCUGAGCGAAGAACCUUACCUGGGCUUGACAUGUAGGAAGUAGAAACCGGAAACGGCGACGACCUGUUAAGUCAGGAACCUGCACAGGUGGUGCAUGGCUGUCGUCAGCUCGUGCCGUGAGGUGUUGGGUUAAGUCCCGCAACGAGCGCAACCCUCACUCUAUGUUGCCAUCGGGUAAUGCCGGGCACUCUUAGGGAACCGCCGGCGAAGAGCUGGAGGAAGGGGGGGAUGACGUCAAGUCCGUAUGCCCCUUAUGUCCAGGGCUACACACAUGCUACAAUGGCCGAUACAGAGGGUUCCCAACCCGCGAGGGGGAGGCAAUCCCACAAAGUCGGUCUCAGUUCGGAUUGCAGGCUGCAACUCGCCUGCAUGAAGUCGUAAUCGCUAGUAAGCGCAGAUCAGCAGNCUGCGCNGAUUAUAUCCCGGGGGGUGACACACCGC